Molecule: ribosomal RNA, 496 nt
Filed under: uncultured bacterium
Lineage: Bacteria
Description: partial 16S ribosomal RNA
Rfam family: Bacterial small subunit ribosomal RNA
Source: RNAcentral
GAUGAACGCUGGCGGCGUGCCUAAUACAUGCAAGUCGAGCGAACAGACGAGGAGCUUGCUCCUCUGACGUUAGCGGCGGACGGGUGAGUAACACGUGGAUAACCUACCUAUAAGACUGGGAUAACUUCGGGAAACCGGAGCUAAUACCGGAUAAUAUAUUGAACCGCAUGGUUCAAUAGUGAAAGACGGUUUUGCUGUCACUUAUGGAUGGAUCCGCGCCGCAUUAGCUAGUUGGUAAGGUAACGGCUUACCAAGGCAACGAUGCGUAGCCGACCUGAGAGGGUGAUCGGCCACACUGAACUGAGACACGGUCCAGACUCCUACGGGAGGCAGCAGUAGGGAAUCUUCCGCAAUGGGCGAAAGCUUGACGGAGCAACGCCGCGUGAGUGAUGAAGGUCUUCGGAUCGUAAAACUCUGUUAUUAGGGAAGAACAAAUGUGUAAGUAACUAUGCACGUCUUGACGGUACCUAAUCAGAAAGCCACGGCUAACUACGUG